This 26-nucleotide non-coding RNA is filed under the name Mus musculus (house mouse). The record is from RNAcentral. Lineage: Eukaryota; Metazoa; Chordata; Mammalia; Rodentia; Muridae.
UGGAGCUCACAUUCCCGUACCACAGC